UACGUAGGGGGCUAGCGUUGUCCGGAAUCAUUGGGCGUAAAUCGCGUGUAGGCGGUCCGGUAAGUCCGCUGUGAAAGUCGGGGGCUCAACCCUCGAAUGCCGGUGGAUACUGUCGGGCUAGAGUGCGGAAGAGGCGAGUGGAAUUCCUGGUGUAGCGGUGAAAUGCGCAGAUAUCAGGAGGAACACCAAUUGCGAAGGCAGCUCGCUGGGACGUUACUGACGCUGAGACGCGAAAGCGUGGGGAGCAAACAGG
RNAcentral lists this ribosomal RNA (253 nucleotides) under uncultured bacterium. Its description in RNAcentral is "partial 16S ribosomal RNA". It matches the Rfam family "Bacterial small subunit ribosomal RNA", at positions 524 to 776 of the family's 1533-position model. The record is from RNAcentral.